GUUUCUGUAGUGUAGUGGUUAUCAUGUUCGCCUUACAUGCGAAAGAUCCUCGGGUCGAAACCGAGCGGAAAAA
Non-coding RNA from Macaca mulatta (Rhesus monkey), 73 nucleotides. Lineage: Eukaryota; Metazoa; Chordata; Mammalia; Primates; Cercopithecidae. The record is from the annotation of a RefSeq genome assembly.